Molecule: ribosomal RNA, 1260 nt
Filed under: Triticum aestivum (bread wheat)
Lineage: Eukaryota; Viridiplantae; Streptophyta; Magnoliopsida; Poales; Poaceae
Description: partial small subunit ribosomal RNA
Source: RNAcentral
AUGACAUUGUACACAAUCCCAGCGGUGACAACCGGAGAAAGAAUAACAUUGAUCAAGCAUACAAUCUCUUUAGGGCAUCUCCAGCCGCGCCGCCAACAGGCCCUCCCCAGACGAUUUUUUCGCGCCGGCGCCCAAAACGCCCAGUCGCGCCCCCAAGAGCCUGUUUUUCGGCGGCUUGAGCCGAAAUUGGUGCCGGCGUACUCAGGCCGAACCGGGGGCGCCGGGGCGAGUGGUUUUGGCACGAACGGGCUGCGGGCCCGCCGAGUCAGCGACACCCGCCUCGUCGUCCUCACAAACGCCUCGGUUUCCCGCGGGGAAUCAAUGGCAAGGAUGCCACCGGUCAGCCUUCUAUUGAUGCCUCACGGGCGGCAUGGCGACGCCCCCCUUCCGCCAUGCGUACACACGGCGCCCGGCUAUAAAAAGCAGCCUCUCCCUCGCCUCUGGCCACACCGCCCACAGCUCCGCCGCCGAGCUCUCUGCCUCUCUCCCCGCGCACAGCCGCCCACUCUCUUCCCCCUCUCUCCCCGUGCCCUCCUCCCCGAGACGAUGGCCGAGCGGUUCCCCGGCGAAUGGGCGGCGGCGAACGGCUUCGGCCGCCGCUCCCUUCACGAGUGGGAGGCUUAUCUUCUUUUCGAGGCCAACAUCCCGGCGCCUCCCAACAUGCGCGUCGGGCCGUCGGGUUGGAGGCUUAGCGCCGGCGGUGUCCCCAUUUGCCCGGUGCCCGACGUCGACGCGCGCCCCGACCUCUUCGCCGCCGAGGUCGACCACGUUUGUGCGUCAAUGACGGACGAGCAGCGGGCCCUCCCGCAGUACGCCGCCGGCAACCAUGGGGCAUGGGCGGCGUACUUUCAGCACUGGCAGGCGCAACGGAUCGCCUCCACCAACGGGGCGCCGACGGUCAGGGGCAGACAGAACAACGAGGGGCGCCGCCUGUGGUGGGGUGCCCCCGGCCGCUCGCUUCACGCCGUCCUCCAGCACCUCGAGGGCGGCAACGACCCAUCCAUGCCUACCCUCCCGCCCCGGCCCGGAACGACGACUAGUGGAUGCCGAGGAGGGUGGCGUCCACUUCUUCCUCCUCCUCCCGUUCCUCCUCGUCGGGGUCGCCGUCGCUGCUCAACGUCAAGGCCGAGCCCGGCGAGACACCGCUCGGCCGGUGAACACACAACGCCGGCAUCGUCAUCAACGAUGGCGGGCGCGCCUCCUCCUCGGCCCCUUCCCGCUUCGUCAAGCCGAAGACGGAGCCCAGGCUCACCGCGGUGA